RNAcentral lists this long non-coding RNA (204 nucleotides) under Mytilus galloprovincialis (Mediterranean mussel). The record is from RNAcentral. Lineage: Eukaryota; Metazoa; Mollusca; Bivalvia; Mytilida; Mytilidae.
AUCUCGCACUUUAUAUGAUAUGUUAUAUAGACUAGACGAUGGUUGUGUAUCACUCUAAAUGGUUAUCAUGUAUCAAAGAAAGUUUACUUGAGUGUGGUUAUAAUCAUUGUUGCAAUAACCAAACUGUAAAAAAAAAUGCUAUUCUGUGAAGACAUGUUAAACAGAUUCUUCAUGAAAUUUUUUUUGAAAAUUUGAAAGCACAGA